Molecule: transfer RNA, 72 nt
Filed under: Cyanobacteriota bacterium
Lineage: Bacteria; Bacillati; Cyanobacteriota
Also listed under: 1 other name
Description: Cyanobacteria bacterium tRNA-Asn
Rfam family: tRNA
About the family: Transfer RNA (tRNA) molecules are approximately 80 nucleotides in length. Their secondary structure includes four short double-helical elements and three loops (D, anti-codon, and T loops). Further hydrogen bonds mediate the characteristic L-shaped molecular structure. tRNAs have two regions of fundamental functional importance: the anti-codon, which is responsible for specific mRNA codon recognition, and the 3' end, to which the tRNAs corresponding amino acid is attached (by aminoacyl-tRNA synthetases). tRNAs cope with the degeneracy of the genetic code in two manners: having more than one tRNA (with a specific anti-codon) for a particular amino acid; and 'wobble' base-pairing, i.e. permitting non-standard base-pairing at the 3rd anti-codon position.
Source: RNAcentral
UCCUCAGUAGCUCAGUGGUAGAGCGGUCGACUGUUAAUCGACUGGUCGCAAGUUCGAAUCUUGCCUGGGGAG